AUAUCCGUUUUUUCUUCUAAUUAAAACAUUACAAAAGAUCACAUUAUACUACAGCUACCUGGAUUCUCAUCGCUGAACAUAUGAGUAUAUGAAUCCGAAUGUGGAGGCGGCAUUGGCGGUGGAUGAGCAUAGUUCACCGACGGAUAAGGUCGAGCAUACAUCAUUGGGUGGUACAUGUCUCCACCGUGACCACCACCAUAUCCUCCAUGAGCUGCAGCUGCAGCUUGUUGUUGUUGCUGAUGCAUCAUCAUUUGCAUAUAUUGUUGUUGGUUCAUUUGAUGACUUGCCUGAGCUGGUUGUGGAUAAUAUCCUCCACCUCCACCUCCACUCAUCGGCAAGCCUUGAACCGCCGGGUAAGAGCCACCUUGAUGUCCCAUAGGACCCAUCUGACCACCUUGGUGUCCCAUCAUACCCAUCUGACCACCUUGACCCAUCAUGCCCAUAGGACCUCCUUGACCCAUCAUACCCAUCGGACCGCCUUGACCCAUUGGGCCACCCAUCCCCUUAGCACUAUGAUUACCCUUGUUACCUCCUCCUCCGCCUGCUUUGUGGUGUUUCAUGAGCUCAUCAAUAUCAUGGGCCCCAUGGCCUCCUCCUUUUGACCCACCACCUCCACCUUUUUUAGGCCCACUGUCAUAAUGAUGAACUCCUCCUCCCCCACCACCGGAGGAUUUGACCUUAUCACCUCCACCGCCUCCUUCUUUCUUACCACCUCCCUUCUUCUCAUCUCCUUUACCACUUUUACCAUUUUUGAAAAACCCUAGCAGGCCACCACCACCACUUUUGGCAUCUGUUUUUCCAUUUUUGCCCCCACCUCCUUUGUUCUUUUUUCCUUCUUUAUCACCUUUAUCUCCUCCUCCUUUCUUGCCUUCUUUCCUCAUUUUACCCUCACCCAUUCCCUUCAUUUGCACCGGAAUCUCAAACCCGCCACCACCUUUCUUCCCCUCUCCUCCGCCACCACCACCACCGCCGGCUUUGAAACCAUUCAUCAUCAUCAUCAUCUCAUUAGGUCCCUUAGCUCCACCACCACCACCACCCAUUUGAGGCAUCAUCUUGUUAGGCAUCAUCAUCAUCUUGUUAGGAGGCAUGUGAUGAUUACCACCUCCUCCCCCACCAUGACCAUGUCCUCCUCCCAUAUCAUCAUCCUCAUCCUCAUCAUCGAACUCAUCAUCAUCAUAAUCAUCCUCACUGAACUCAUCAUCGUAAUCCCUUUUUUUUUUUUUUCUCUUUACGAUUUAGUUCUUUUGUGAUUAUCGAUCACCGGAGUGCGGAGGAAGAAGACGACGACGAGCGUUUUUAUUUUAUUUAUUUCAUAUAAAUUUCCAUUUAAUUCUCUAAAUACUGUAAUGUGAUUGGCCGAGACACGUAUGAUCUACUUCGCAAACCGAAAUUUCGGUCUAUGAAUACCUUUUUAUUCCGGUUCAAACUCGGUCUAAGAAUAUUCAUUCAAUGAAUUUUGACUAUUAUGAGUCUUAUCACACUCAAAAUUCUACAUUUGGCAUAAUAAUUACUAGUAAUAAACAUCGGAUUAUUAUGGUUGACUGUAGAUCAGUUGACUGAUUAAACCGGGAUUUAGUUUACUAGGCCCAAUGGGUAAGCAAAAUAUUGAUGGUUCAUUUAAAAGCCCGUCAUUGUGAGUCACUCGCACAAGUUGUUUAAGAUAAGAGGACCGAACGUUUUCUGCCGCCAAACUAUUGAUGUGGUUUCUCAGUUCACACACUAGUUUCACUUUUGGAGAACACUAUUUGAUAGAAACACCAGAGACCUAAUUCUGAAAUAUUUUGUCCACACUUUCUUAUUGAAAAAACAUCAUAAUCAACUCAUAAAUCUCUCACGGAUUUGGUGCUCAAUGGGUCAAAAUUAAUAUGUGGUGUGUACAUAAAGUUAGUGGCACACUAUAGGAGUUAGUGCUCUUGUGCCCUACUAUAGAGGGCGGCUGCACAAUCCUUUUCACACAGAAAAAUAAAGAUCUUAGUUUGUAACCAUCUUCAAGAUAUUAUAAACAUCAUUCCACUUAACAAAAUUAAAGCACAUUUUGUUUUCAAUCCCCUCAAAAGAGUUUUAAAAGAGAAAGUCAUCCCAAAAAAAUACAUAAUAAAGAGUUCUAAGACAAACAUAUUCAUAUCCGUUUUUUCUUCUAAUUAAAACAUUACAAAAGAUCACAUUAUACUACAGCUACCUGGAUUCUCAUCGCUGAACAUAUGAGUAUAUGAAUCCGAAUGUGGAGGCGGCAUUGGCGGUGGAUGAGCAUAGUUCACCGACGGAUAAGGUCGAGCAUACAUCAUUGGGUGGUACAUGUCUCCACCGUGACCACCACCAUAUCCUCCAUGAGCUGCAGCUGCAGCUUGUUGUUGUUGCUGAUGCAUCAUCAUUUGCAUAUAUUGUUGUUGGUUCAUUUGAUGACUUGCCUGAGCUGGUUGUGGAUAAUAUCCUCCACCUCCACCUCCACUCAUCGGCAAGCCUUGAACCGCCGGGUAAGAGCCACCUUGAUG
RNAcentral lists this long non-coding RNA (2492 nucleotides) under Brassica napus (rape). RNAcentral describes it as "long non-coding RNA (BNAP_LNC018042)". Lineage: Eukaryota; Viridiplantae; Streptophyta; Magnoliopsida; Brassicales; Brassicaceae. The record is from RNAcentral.